RNAcentral lists this ribosomal RNA (500 nucleotides) under uncultured bacterium. RNAcentral describes it as "partial 16S ribosomal RNA". It matches the Rfam family "Bacterial small subunit ribosomal RNA", at positions 28 to 523 of the family's 1533-position model. The record is from RNAcentral.
GUUGAACGCUGGCGGCAUGCCUUACACAUGCAAGUCGAACGGAUUCAAGGGGCUUGCUCCUUGAGUUAGUGGCGAACGGGUGAGUAAUGCAUCGGAACGUGCCCAGUCGUGGGGGAUAACUACUCGAAAGAGUAGCUAAUACCGCAUACGUCCUGAGGGAGAAAGCGGGGGAUCUUCGGACCUCGCGCGAUUGGAGCGGCCGAUGUCGGAUUAGCUAGUUGGUGGGGUAAAAGCCUACCAAGGCAACGAUCCGUAGCUGGUCUGAGAGGAUGAUCAGCCACACUGGGACUGAGACACGGCCCAGACUCCUACGGGAGGCAGCAGUGGGGAAUUUUGGACAAUGGGGGAAACCCUGAUCCAGCCAUGCCGCGUGAGUGAAGAAGGCCUUCGGGUUGUAAAGCUCUUUCAGUCGGAAAGAAAUGGUUUCGGUGAAUAUCCGGAGCCGAUGACGGUACCGACAGAAGAAGCACCGGCUAACUACGUGCCAGCCGCCGCCGUAA